Molecule: ribosomal RNA, 200 nt
Filed under: uncultured bacterium
Lineage: Bacteria
Description: partial 16S ribosomal RNA
Rfam family: Bacterial small subunit ribosomal RNA
Source: RNAcentral
AGAGUUUGAUCAUGGCUCAGAAUCAACGCUGGCGGCGUGCCUAACACAUGCAAGUCGAACGAGAAAGUGGAGCAAUCCAUGAGUACAGUGGCGACCGGGUGAGUAACACGUGACCAACCUGCCCUCGAGUGGGGAAUAACUCCGGGAACCGGAGCUAAUACCGCAUAACAUCGCAAGAUCAAAGCCGCAAGGCGCUUGAG